UUCAUGAAUUGUGAUGAGUGCGAUGCAUCAGACUAGCUAGAGCUCCCCAUGUGUUUGAAUCCUGUAAUAACAGCGGUUUGGGGCGUGCGCACACUGAGCCAGCUGUAGGACGGGGUGGAAGCGAGAUGAGAAUACUAAGUAGGCACCUCAUGGCUCAGCAUCAGCACCGGGCUGAGUUAGGAUUUGCGCACCCUCCAAACUUGGCUUGGGACCUCAGCAUGUGAACGGGCUUUGCAGGAGGAGGAUCCACCUAGGAUGUCAGCUCUGAAGAAGGUGUUGCCAGGCAUACUGAAGAAGCACUGCUGUAUCUUACCAGACAGGAACACAGGUUUGAAGAGGUUGCUGAUGAAAUUGAAGAGCAGGGGGAUAUACUCAGGUACCUG
Molecule: long non-coding RNA, 383 nt
Organism: Sander lucioperca (pikeperch)
Lineage: Eukaryota; Metazoa; Chordata; Actinopteri; Perciformes; Percidae
Exons: 3
Source: RefSeq, a predicted model, not a curated record